Molecule: ribosomal RNA, 383 nt
Filed under: uncultured bacterium
Lineage: Bacteria
Description: bacterial SSU rRNA
Rfam family: Bacterial small subunit ribosomal RNA
Source: RNAcentral
UUCGGGUUGUAAAGCACUUUCAGUAGGGAGGAAGGUAGUGUAGUUAACACCUGCAUUAUUUGACGUUACCUACAGAAGAAGCACCGGCUAACUCCGUGCCAGCAGCCGCGGUAAUACGGAGGGUGCGAGCGUUAAUCGGAAUUACUGGGCGUAAAGCGCAUGCAGGCGGCCUGUUAAGUCAGAUGUGAAAGCCCGGGGCUUAACCUCGGAAUUGCAUUUGAAACUGGCAGGCUAGAGUCUUGUAGAGGGGGUAGAAUUUCAGGUGUAGCGGUGAAAUGCGUAGAGAUCUGAAGGAAUACCAGUGGCGAAGGCGGCCCCCUGGACAAAGACUGACGCUCAGAUGCGAAAGCGUGGGGAGCAAACAGGAUUAGAUACCCUGGUAG